GCCAGACUCCUACGGGAGGCAGCAGUAGGGAAUCUUUCACAAUGGGCGAAAGCCUGAUGGAGCAACGCCGCGUGCAGGAAGAAGGCUUUCGGGUUGUAAACUUCUUUUCUCAGGGACGAAGCAAGUGACGGUACCUGAGGAAUAAGCCACGGCUAACUACGUGCCAGCAGCCGCGGUAAUACGUAGGGGGCAAGCGUUAUCCGGAUUUACUGGGUGUAAAGGGAGCGUAGACGGCGAUGCAAGCCAGAUGUGAAAGCCCGGGGCUCAACCCCGGGACUGCAUUUGGAACUGUGUGGCUGGAGUGUCGGAGAGGCAGGCGGAAUUCCUAGUGUAGCGGUGAAAUGCGUAGAUAUUAGGAGGAACACCAGUGGCGAAGGCGGCUUACUGGACUGUAACUGACGUUGAGGCUCGAAAGCGUGGAGAGCAAACAGGAUUAGAUACCCCUGUAU
RNAcentral lists this ribosomal RNA (449 nucleotides) under uncultured bacterium. RNAcentral describes it as "bacterial SSU rRNA". It matches the Rfam family "Bacterial small subunit ribosomal RNA", at positions 330 to 793 of the family's 1533-position model. The record is from RNAcentral.